Molecule: ribosomal RNA, 253 nt
Filed under: uncultured bacterium
Lineage: Bacteria
Description: partial 16S ribosomal RNA
Rfam family: Bacterial small subunit ribosomal RNA
Source: RNAcentral
UACGAAGGGGGCUAGCGUUGCUCGGAAUCACUGGGCGUAAAGGGUGCGUAGGCGGGGCUUUAAGUCAGGGGUGAAAUCCUGGAGCUCGACUCCAGAACUGCCUUUGAUACUGAGGAUCUUGAGUUCGGGAGAGGUGAGUGGAACUGCGAGUGUAGAGGUGAAAUUCGUAGAUAUUCGCAAGAACACCAGUGGCGAAGGCGGCUCACUGGCCCGAUACUGACGCUGAGGCACGAAAGCGUGGGGAGCAAACAGG